This 1426-nucleotide long non-coding RNA is filed under the name Homo sapiens (human). RNAcentral's name for it is "HSALNT0367416". Lineage: Eukaryota; Metazoa; Chordata; Mammalia; Primates; Hominidae. The record is from RNAcentral.
GUUUUUUUGGAAAAUACGGUGGUAUGAAUUCAAGGUAUAAAACCUUAUGCUGGCUGGUUUGUGAUUAUACAUCCUCAAGGGAACUCUUUCCCCUGCAUAGCCAAUGUCAAUGCUUAGGUCAGUGAAAUUUCCUUAUGGUGACCUCACAGCGAGGGUGUAACCCUUGAGAAUCACAGCUUUAUGCAGUGAGACAGGAUGUCUCUCAUUGACUCUCCCUCUUGGGUGGUCACUGGGCUUUUUUCUUCUAUUCUGCAAUGCCUGCAAGGCCACGGACUUUUUAGAAAGCUCAACUACGACCUUACUUAAUGAAUGCUUUCAUAGUCCUUUUACCUUUUCAAUGUCCCGCUUUCACCUGAUUUUUGGUUUCUGAGAACUACUUAGCUCAUCAGUAUACUCACAAAGUGGAUUUUAGAAAAUAUUUUAUCUGGCAGUUUUUAUUGCUUUUCCAUAGGAGGAUCUAGCUGCAGUAUUGCCAGAACAAGAAAUUCACCUCUAUCUGUUCCUGUGUCUAACUAGGAUAUCAUGUGAACUGAAUGAGCCUUACGUUUUCUUUAUUGACAGCUUAGUGAGUGACUUUUGAACCAGGGUUGCAUGUCUUAAGGAACAACCCCAUCUUGAGGACUCAGUAACUUAAAAAUGGAUCUGCUGGUGCUCUCUCGACCAUGAAUUCUGAGGUGGCAGAACAGAGGCCAAGGUUUUGUUAGGUCAUAAUGCUAUCAUGUUUGAACUCCAUUCAUGUGUCGUGCUAGGAAAGGAGUGGUAUUAUCCCAGUCUUCCAGCUUAAACAUUUCACAACACUAAAUCCAUACUCUUUCUCCUUGUGUCUUACAAUUCUCCAAGCUAGAUCCCUGAGCAUAUUCCAUAAUCAGUGGGAAAGGGAGCUGAGCACAUCUGCACAGCCUCCUGUUUCGUCAGAUGUCUGUAAUCCCAGCUACUUGGGAAGCUGAGGUAGAUGGAUCGCAGGAGCACAGGAGUUCAAGACUACAGUGAGCUAAGAUGGAGCCACUACAAGCCAGGGAAACAAAGCAAGACCCUGUCUCUACUGUCUGUAAGGAAAAAACGAGAGAGAGAGAGAAGGAAACCAGAAACUGAUAUGUAAGCUGUUACGGUAAAUAUUUCCAGGAGGCAUGACUCCUUCGGCUUCAAGACCAUCUAUUGCCACUUUUAACUGAUUAAAGUGAUUGCCUGGGACUGCUGGAUCUAUUCCAACUCUGUAUAAAUAUAGUCAGAACAUAACGUGCUGAAUCUGUGUGUGUGAACUCUGCUUCUCACUAGUAUCUGGCUUCUGUUACAAGCGUUAGCUUCUUCUACACUAGUUAAAAAUAUCUAACCAUUAAACAACUAAGCAUAUGCCAACCGUGUUCACAUUCAACCGCAGAACUAAGCUGAACCUGGAUUAGGUGAGCAGAGGUAAAGCACAUGAUAG